AAGGCCAUAAAUAGUCCCUUAUCUAUGGGAGUAGGUCUAAAAUGGUCCCUUAUCUAUACAUUUACCGAUUUUAGUCCUUUAACUAUCCAAAAACUUAUCAAAUUUGGUCUCCGUCUAUUUUUUUUAUACAAACAGCGUACAAACUCAUAAACCUUCGUGAGAUUAAUCGUUAAACCAUUCCUCAGACCUAUAUUUCUCUCUCCCUGCUUCUUUUUCCUCAAGUUCCUCUUGUUUUAAAAAAAAAAAAAAAAAGAGCAUUCUGGCACUGGUGUCGCUCUCGAGUCUCUAAAAUUCGAAAAGACAAACUCAGGCACAAAAUUUCUGUAACCAUUCUUCUCAAACACUACUAAAAAACUGGUAAAAACCGAUAGCAAAAAUCGACGGAAAUACCGACGGAUUCCGUCGGUUUUUUCAAUAAUUUUUUUAAAUCUUUUUUUUUUUAAGAAAACCGACGGACUGUGUCUGUUAUUUUUUGCACAAAAAUGCGCGAAAAAAUAUAAUUAUUUUCUAAAAUAAACCAAUGGAGUCCGUCGAUUUUUUAUUUUUUAUUUUUUAUUAUAAAAAACCGACGGAGACAGACUCCGUCGAUUUUUAGAGCGAAAAACAGUAAAAAUUAAAUCAAUGUAAGUAUAUGAACAAAAAAUAUCAGUGUUCUAGUGGUAAAGCCCUUUAAUGCCAAGGAACAUACCCGGGUUCGAUUCCAAGUUCCUACAUUUCAUUCUUUAAUUUUCAAAAAAAAAAAAAAAAAAACGUGAGACCUCCGUCGGUUACAAAACGCGAGAGAGAACUUGAGGAAGAAAAAGCAGGGAGAGAGAAAUAUAGGUCUGAGUAAUGGUUUAACGAUUAAUCUCACGAAGGUUUAUGAGUUUGUACGCUGUUUGUAUAAAAAAAUAGACGGAGAUCAAAUUUGAUAAGUUUUUGGAUAGUUAAAGGACUAAAACCGGUAAGUGUAUAGUUAAGGGACCAUUUUAGACCUACUCCCAUAGAUAAGGGACUAUUUAUGGCCUUUUCUC
Molecule: long non-coding RNA, 1013 nt
Organism: Lycium ferocissimum
Lineage: Eukaryota; Viridiplantae; Streptophyta; Magnoliopsida; Solanales; Solanaceae
Exons: 3
Source: RefSeq, a predicted model, not a curated record